Sciurus carolinensis (gray squirrel) is the source of this 855-nucleotide long non-coding RNA. RefSeq lists it as uncharacterized. NCBI's taxonomy places the organism in Eukaryota, Metazoa, Chordata, Mammalia, Rodentia, Sciuridae. The transcript has 3 exons. The record is from RefSeq and is a predicted model, not a curated record.
UACCUACAAGGAGGGUGUCUCACCGAACGGUAGCUAAAACCUCACCAGAACCGCGCGGAAGUGAGGAGUCGCGGCCAAAGGCGCUCGCUGGAGCCUUCUCUCUGGGCCGGACCCCAGCCCAAGCGGCCGAACGGAGCCCCCCGCCCGGACUGCAGCUGCUGCAGCUGCCGCUGAAAUUCGCUGUGGCCGCUGCCUCUUCCCGCUUUAAUCUCAGACCUCCAGUCAUUGGGCAGCUCCUCAGAGGCAAGAAGUCAACACCAUGGCAACCCGACAAGCCUAUCAAAUCACCGGCUGGUGUGACAACAGCAACACUGCAGGCAGGAGUGGGCUGGGCGGAAGAGCAGAGUGGUCACUGCGCUCAGGUUCUGGAAGAGGAAGAGAAGGAAGGGACUGGAAGAGCUGCGGAAGACUUUCAAACUGAAAGGAAGCCCAAGUCCUAGAAAUUACAAACUAAAGAUGCCCUUUGCCCCAGCAGUCCAUGAAACCAGGUCCAAUAACCUCAGAACCAACAACAAAAGGGGCUUGCACAAAAGUAUGGGUUUUCUUUUUGCCAGUUCUGCCCUUUGCUUAAACAACAUUAAUGUAACAUUCUGUUCUGGAGUUCCAAAAGGAUAAAGGAAAAUGGUGCAUUUUAAAAUUUUGUCUUCUGCCAGUGCUGGAUUCUGCAAAAUAUGGCUUAACUUUAAGCUAUGCUGAUUGCUUUGGAAAUUACCUAAACUUUACCCGAAACUGUCUUUGCCUUGUUCUUUCAUAAAUUGUAUAUUUUGUGUGCUGUGUGUGUUCUAGAUCUUGAUUUCAGGAAGGGAAGAAACAGGAGACUAGAAAAUGUAUGUUUUCCUCUCAGGCCCACCUGGC